UACGUAGGUGGCAAGCGUUGUCCGGAUUUCUUGGGUUUAAAGGGUUCGUAGGCGGCUUAUUAAGUCAGUGGUGAAAUACUCUAGCUCAACUAGAGGGGUGCCAUUGAUACUGAUGAGCUUGAGUACAGAUGAGGUAGGCGGAAUUGACGGUGUAGCGGUGAAAUGCUUAGAUAUCGUCAAGAACACCGAUAGCGAAGGCAGCUUACUAGGCUGUAACUGACGCUGAGGCACGAAAGUGUGGGGAGCAAACAGG
Molecule: ribosomal RNA, 253 nt
Filed under: uncultured bacterium
Lineage: Bacteria
Description: partial 16S ribosomal RNA
Rfam family: Bacterial small subunit ribosomal RNA
Source: RNAcentral